CUGAGCUCAACUCCUGAUGCAUGGAGAAAAGGCCUUCACACGCCUCUGCUAUUGUGUACAUAGUUUAUACUACAAUUCCCAUCAAGCCAAGUCACCAGAGAUCACCCAGCUCGUCAUGCUAGAGCACUUUUUCAAUAUGCUCCCCAACGAGAAGGCAACUUUCGAUUCCAUUGACUGCGCCUACCAUGGUGACCACGGGUAACGGGGAAUCAGGGUUCGAUUCCGUACAGGGACCCUGGCAAACAGCUACCACAUGCAAGCAAGUCAGCAGGCGCGCAAAUGACCCACUCCCGACGCGGGAAGGUAGUGAUG
This is a non-coding RNA of Pelobates cultripes (western spadefoot toad), 312 nucleotides long. The record is from the annotation of a GenBank genome assembly. Lineage: Eukaryota; Metazoa; Chordata; Amphibia; Anura; Pelobatidae.